GGCCCAAUGGUCUAGUGGUAUGAUUCGCCCUUCGGGUACUAGAACAAUCCUCACGCUCAGCGUGACUGGGCGAGGUCCCGUGUUCGAAUCACGGUUGGGCCC
RNAcentral lists this transfer RNA (102 nucleotides) under Colletotrichum graminicola M1.001. RNAcentral describes it as "tRNA-Pro for anticodon CGG". The record is from RNAcentral. Lineage: Eukaryota; Fungi; Ascomycota; Sordariomycetes; Glomerellales; Glomerellaceae.